RNAcentral lists this ribosomal RNA (460 nucleotides) under uncultured bacterium. Its description in RNAcentral is "partial 16S ribosomal RNA". It matches the Rfam family "Bacterial small subunit ribosomal RNA", at positions 338 to 795 of the family's 1533-position model. The record is from RNAcentral.
CCUACGGGAGGCUGCAGUGAGGAAUAUUGGUCAAUGGACGAGAGUCUGAACCAGCCAAGUAGCGUGAAGGAUGACUGCCCUAUGGGUUGUAAACUUCUUUUAUAUGGGAAUAAAAUGUUCCACGUGUGGGAUUUUGUAUGUACCAUAUGAAUAAGGAUCGGCUAACUCCGUGCCAGCAGCCGCGGUAAUACGGAGGAUCCGAGCGUUAUCCGGAUUUAUUGGGUUUAAAGGGAGCGUAGGUGGAUUGUUAAGUCAGUUGUGAAAGUUUGCGGCUCAACCGUAAAAUUGCAGUUGAAACUGGCAGUCUUGAGGACAGUAGAGGUGGGCGGAAUUCGUGGUGUAGCGGUGAAAUGCUUAGAUAGCACGAAGAACUCCGAUUGCGAAGGCAGUUCACUGGACUGCAACUGACACUGAGGCUCGAAAGUGUGGGUAUCAAACAGGAUUAGAUACCCCAGUAGUC